Molecule: transfer RNA, 77 nt
Filed under: Bdellovibrio sp.
Lineage: Bacteria; Pseudomonadati; Bdellovibrionota; Bdellovibrionia; Bdellovibrionales; Pseudobdellovibrionaceae
Description: tRNA-Met
Rfam family: tRNA
About the family: Transfer RNA (tRNA) molecules are approximately 80 nucleotides in length. Their secondary structure includes four short double-helical elements and three loops (D, anti-codon, and T loops). Further hydrogen bonds mediate the characteristic L-shaped molecular structure. tRNAs have two regions of fundamental functional importance: the anti-codon, which is responsible for specific mRNA codon recognition, and the 3' end, to which the tRNAs corresponding amino acid is attached (by aminoacyl-tRNA synthetases). tRNAs cope with the degeneracy of the genetic code in two manners: having more than one tRNA (with a specific anti-codon) for a particular amino acid; and 'wobble' base-pairing, i.e. permitting non-standard base-pairing at the 3rd anti-codon position.
Source: RNAcentral
GGUGGGGUAGCUCAGCUGGUUAGAGCAACGGAAUCAUAAUCCGUAGGUCACGUGUUCAAAUCACGUUCUCACUACCA